CAGUGGCACCAGAGUCUAUAAUCCAGAUGCAAUCACUUACUUUGGUUAGCAUGCAAGCCCCAUAGGAAACAUUCUUUAAAUGAGUGGUUGGAGAAAAAUUACCAGCAAAGUUGGCUGAGGCCAUAAGGCUGGACUGCUGCUUAGACUCUGCAAGCUGUGUCUGCUGAAGCAGCAACAUAAGCUGGGAAUAUUGGUCUUUGCUUAAACCAGGUAUUAGAGACUCUGAAUCAGAAACCCCUUGAGAAUUGUCAGCACUACUCUGAGUUCCAGCAGGGUUUGUAUACCCCUACACUUCAACAUGUGCUGCACUCCUCCUUCCUUUGGUGAAUUUGAAGUCUGAUGGAAAUCCUCUUGUGAAUUUGAAGUCUGGUGGAAAUCCAUGAAGUUAAUAGCAUUUUUCAAUCAGGUGUCCAGGCUUCUUACAAUCCCUACACACUAGGUUUGCUCUAUUGGGAUUAGAAUUGAGUCUUGGGCUGAAUUUUUUAGGGUAACCAGCUGCUGUGGGAAAUCUUGUGAUGGAGGGUUUGUUGCUGAAAUGAGCAUUGAAGGCACUCGAAUCAUGAUGAAAUUGAGAAGGUGAAGAGACUUGUCUUUGUCUCUCAUCUUGGAGUAGAAUAUUGUAUGCACAAUCUAGAAUUGGUGGAGGUUGUAGCAUAAGAAUAUUGCUUCUGACUCCCACAUAGAUGUCAUUGAGCCCCAUAAGGAACUGGUGCAGUUGGAGUAGAAUAUUGUAUGCACAAUCCACAGUUGGUGAAGGUUGUAGCAUAAGAAUAUUGCUUCUGACUCCCACAUAGAUGUCAUUGAGCCCCGUAAGGAACUGAUGCAGUUUGUUGUCAUCAUCCUCCCUUUGAAGCUCGAUUCUGGCAUUGCAUGUGCAAUUGUUGCCACGAGAUGCGAUCAUGAAGUUCAGUUCAUCCCAUAGUUUCUUUAGCUUGUUGAAAUAAGAAGCUAUAUCCAGAGACCCUUGAUUAGUUGAUGCCAGCUCCUGCUUAAUCUCAAAUAUCCUGGUUCCAUUCACAGUUCCAUAUCUACUAUUGAGUUAAUUCCAGAUGCUUUGAGCAGUGUCGGAAUACUGAACACUCUCAGCUGGCGCAAGGGAAUUAGUAAGCCAAGAGAUAACCAUAUUGUUGCACCUAUC
Molecule: long non-coding RNA, 1138 nt
Filed under: Nicotiana benthamiana
Lineage: Eukaryota; Viridiplantae; Streptophyta; Magnoliopsida; Solanales; Solanaceae
Description: long non-coding RNA (NBEN_LNC019889)
Source: RNAcentral